RNAcentral lists this ribosomal RNA (752 nucleotides) under Bacillus sp. YHYB01. RNAcentral describes it as "bacterial SSU rRNA". It matches the Rfam family "Bacterial small subunit ribosomal RNA", at positions 395 to 1138 of the family's 1533-position model. Lineage: Bacteria; Bacillati; Bacillota; Bacilli; Caryophanales; Bacillaceae. The record is from RNAcentral.
CGCCGCGUGAGUGAUGAAGGUUUUCGGAUCGUAAAGCUCUGUUGUUAGGGAAGAACAAGUGCCGUUCAAAUAGGGCGGCACCUUGACGGUACCUAACCAGAAAGCCACGGCUAACUACGUGCCAGCAGCCGCGGUAAUACGUAGGUGGCAAGCGUUGUCCGGAAUUAUUGGGCGUAAAGGGCUCGCAGGCGGUUUCUUAAGUCUGAUGUGAAAGCCCCCGGCUCAACCGGGGAGGGUCAUUGGAAACUGGGGAACUUGAGUGCAGAAGAGGAGAGUGGAAUUCCACGUGUAGCGGUGAAAUGCGUAGAGAUGUGGAGGAACACCAGUGGCGAAGGCGACUCUCUGGUCUGUAACUGACGCUGAGGAGCGAAAGCGUGGGGAGCGAACAGGAUUAGAUACCCUGGUAGUCCACGCCGUAAACGAUGAGUGCUAAGUGUUAGGGGGUUUCCGCCCCUUAGUGCUGCAGCUAACGCAUUAAGCACUCCGCCUGGGGAGUACGGUCGCAAGACUGAAACUCAAAGGAAUUGACGGGGGCCCGCACAAGCGGUGGAGCAUGUGGGUUUAAUUCGAAGCAACGCGAAGAACCUUACCAGGUCUUGACAUCCUCUGACAAUCCUAGAGAUAGGACGUCCCCUUCGGGGGCAGAGUGACAGGUGGUGCAUGGUUGUCGUCAGCUCGUGUCGUGAGAUGUUGGGUUAAGUCCCGCAACGAGCGCAACCCUUGAUCUUAGUUGCCAGCAUUCAGUUGGGCAC